Molecule: ribosomal RNA, 832 nt
Filed under: uncultured Alphaproteobacteria bacterium
Lineage: Bacteria; Pseudomonadati; Pseudomonadota; Alphaproteobacteria
Description: bacterial SSU rRNA
Rfam family: Bacterial small subunit ribosomal RNA
Source: RNAcentral
AGAGAUCAUGGCUCAGAACGAACGCUGGCGGCAGGCUUAACACAUGCAAGUCGAACGCACCGCAAGGUGAGUGGCAGACGGGUGAGUAACGCGUGGGAACGUGCCCUUCAGUUCGGAAUAACCCAGGGAAACUUGGGCUAAUACCGGAUACGUGCGAGAGCAGAAAGAUUUAUCGCUGAAGGAUCGGCCCGCGUCUGAUUAGCUAGUUGGUGAGGUAAUGGCUCACCAAGGCGACGAUCAGUAGCUGGUCUGAGAGGAUGAUCAGCCACAUUGGGACUGAGACACGGCCCAAACUCCUACGGGAGGCAGCAGUGGGGAAUAUUGGACAAUGGGCGCAAGCCUGAUCCAGCCAUGCCGCGUGAGUGAUGAAGGCCUUAGGGUUGUAAAGCUCUUUCGUCCGGGACGAUAAUGACGGUACCGGAAGAAGAAGCCCCGGCUAACUUCGUGCCAGCAGCCGCGGUAAUACGAAGGGGGCUAGCGUUGUUCGGAAUCACUGGGCGUAAAGGGCGCGUAGGCGGCUUUAUAAGUCGGGGGUGAAAGCCUGUGGCUCAACCACAGAGUUGCCUUCGAUACUGUAUGGCUUGAGACCGGAAGAGGUUAGUGGAACUGCGAGUGUAGAGGUGAAAUUCGUAGAUAUUCGCAAGAACACCAGUGGCGAAGCGGCUGACUGGUCCGGUUCUGACGCUGAGGCGCGAAAGCGUGGGGAGCAAACAGGAUUAGAUACCCUGGUAGUCCACGCCGUAAACGAUGAAUGCCAGCCGUUGGGCAGCUUGCUGCUCAGUGGCGCAGCUAACGCUUUAAGCAUUCCGCCUGGGGAGUACGGUCGCAAGAU